RNAcentral lists this ribosomal RNA (611 nucleotides) under uncultured Stenotrophomonas sp. RNAcentral describes it as "bacterial SSU rRNA". It matches the Rfam family "Bacterial small subunit ribosomal RNA", at positions 355 to 957 of the family's 1533-position model. Lineage: Bacteria; Pseudomonadati; Pseudomonadota; Gammaproteobacteria; Lysobacterales; Lysobacteraceae. The record is from RNAcentral.
UGGGGAAUAUUGGACAAUGGGCGCAAGCCUGAUCCAGCCAUACCGCGUGGGUGAAGAAGGCCUUCGGGUUGUAAAGCCCUUUUGUUGGGAAAGAAAUCCAGCCGGCUAAUACCUGGUUGGGAUGACGGUACCCAAAGAAUAAGCACCGGCUAACUUCGUGCCAGCAGCCGCGGUAAUACGAAGGGUGCAAGCGUUACUCGGAAUUACUGGGCGUAAAGCGUGCGUAGGUGGUUGUUUAAGUCUGUUGUGAAAGCCCUGGGCUCAACCUGGGAACUGCAGUGGAAACUGGACAACUAGAGUGUGGUAGAGGGUAGCGGAAUUCCCGGUGUAGCAGUGAAAUGCGUAGAGAUCGGGAGGAACAUCCAUGGCGAAGGCAGCUACCUGGACCAACACUGACACUGAGGCACGAAAGCGUGGGGAGCAAACAGGAUUAGAUACCCUGGUAGUCCACGCCCUAAACGAUGCGAACUGGAUGUUGGGUGCAAUUUGGCACGCAGUAUCGAAGCUAACGCGUUAAGUUCGCCGCCUGGGGAGUACGGUCGCAAGACUGAAACUCAAAGGAAUUGACGGGGGCCCGCACAAGCGGUGGAGUAUGUAGUUUAAUUCGAUGC